UUAAGGACCCUUUCUUGCCCGCCAGAGGGAGUUGUAGAGAGAAAAGAGAAGGGGAGGGCAUCUCUAUUAGCUGGCCAGCAAGUCAGCUCUUGGCCCCCACCCCAUGACAGGGAAAUUACAGGGGAAGCCUCAGCGUGCGUAUGGGGGGCGGCAUUUUUUGCCACCGAAGGCAAAUGCCUAGUUUGUGUUAAAUCCGUUUUUUAUUGAGACAAUUUUAGAAACGAUUUUCCCUCGCAGGGGAUGCAGUGCAUAUACAGGUAACAAUAUAUUGGACAGCUAUGGUAUAGCGUUGAUAUACUGAUGUUUGCCUGCUCAGAGGCUGUAUAUGCGUUAUCUCACAUACCAUAACGGUCAACAAGGCAGUUUUCCCACACGGGUCAUAUUGUAGGCAGUACAAGGAGUUUUAGGUUAACGUUUCAACCAUGGUGUUAGAUCGGUGGUUAUGGUAUGAGGCAUAGCCCAAGUUUCCCAUACUGGGGAAGCAAUGUGCAUUUAGGGAGCAGUAUAGGGUUCUUUAUUGGUAUAGCUUUGGUACCUCGAUAUUUGCCUGC
Non-coding RNA from Pelobates cultripes (western spadefoot toad), 551 nucleotides. NCBI's taxonomy places the organism in Eukaryota, Metazoa, Chordata, Amphibia, Anura, Pelobatidae. The record is from the annotation of a GenBank genome assembly.